AACAAUUCGCUCAAACACCUCCCACCUCUGACAAAAUACAGUGUUUUGAUGCUGCUUACCAAAAGCAAGCAACCAUCUUUCUCCAUCUCUGCCCAUAAGGUCCGACUCUUCUUUCAACAAAGGACUUCCUCCCUGAAGUCCCUCAGUAGACAGUGAUACGGUUCCAUUUAGGAGCAGAAAAUUCCCUUUCUGGAAAAUAACUCAGCCAUUAUGCAGGUCUACCAGAGGAGGACUCGACAUCUCCAGUCUCCCACCCCAUUUCCAGGAGAGUGAUGCACAUUUCAGAAAUAUGCCUCCUCAGAAUGAGGACUAUUAACAGGGAGAAGGAGGAGAAGUUACUUGCAGAGCAUGGCCACCUGGCAGGGUGGGUCCAGCAGAAGAGAUGUGUGUUUUGGCAGCCAAAUGGUGUAAUACGCCAAUCAAUUAAGGCCUUUUCUCCAUGAGGUAGUUCCAUACCAUUCUUAACAGUUGAGCCAACUGCAAUUUAGAAAUACAUCUACUGAUUAAAAUGGACAAGGAAACUAUUGUAUAAAUACUAACUUUGUGCAGAAUGACUUCAGAUUUCUGAUCACCAAAACAGAAGAAAAAGGGCUUAAUUUCCCUGUGACUGCUCUCCAUGUCUUCCCUGUAAAGUAAGCCACGGAACUAAACGCGGAGGAGGCCUACUUCAUAUAGGGAUGGAAUGGAAACAGAUUUAUGCACAGGAACAUACUAGCGCUCCAACGCAAAGGCAGAGGGUUGAUCUAUCUGCUGCAGUGGACAUCUGCAGCUCUUGAAUACACAAAGACGCUACUGUAAGGGCUUAAACAAAUGAGUAACGGUGACACUAUAUCCUGGACUGCUUGAACCUUGUUAUGGAAAAAAGAAGCAGUAGCUAGGCAGGUGGAUAGUAUGACACUUUGAAAGAUACUGCGGCAAAAUCAACUGCUGUUGUCAGGGACUUGUAUUUUUUUUUCCAUUUUGAAGGGCUUUUUUAAUUAUUACUAUUUUUAUUACUACUUGUCAGACUGCUUGUCUGAAAUACAUUACGAGACUUAAUUUAUUUAUUUUUUAAAGGAAUACACGGCAUGCUGGGAGUCUGUGAUCGAAGACACUCUGCACAGGCCAACAAUCGUAAUUAUGCUGUGAUUUUAUGCCCAGCAGGAAACUUCAGAUUUGCCACCUAGGAACAAAGCUAAAGAAAUGAUCUAAGGUAGCCAAUUAAAGUUUUCAUAAAGAACCCCUCGUCUAUCCUCAAAAACCAAAAUCUCCUUUUACAGCACAAUCCUCUUAGCACUUAUCUCUCCCUUCCUCAUUAAUACAGUUUCACCUAGCUGGCACUGACACAUGCAGAGACAGGGAGGGAGAUACACACACAUAUAUACACACUUUACUUUUUUUCCUUCUGUUCUCCUGACCUUUCUGAUUUGGUUCAGCAUUUACACUAGCCCACCUGUCUGGCAGAUCUUCCCUGCAACGUGUCCUUCAAGAUGAAAAACAGAGUUUGAUAAUGCAUAGUGACAAACCUCGCAGAGAGCGAGCGGGCAAGCAAAAGAGAGAAAGCGCUAAGGGAAAUCGCUUCUAACCAGGAUCUGCUGCUGCACAGCUAAUCAGGCAGGUAUUCAGUUGUUCACUCCUGCAGACUUGCUUAGCAUAGAAAUAGGCUGUCUGCCCAGGAAGAUGAGGUAAUGUCUAGGUUUAAUGCCAAUCUCUGUAACUGGCAGGACACAUUGGGUAAAUAUUUCUGCUGCAGGAGACCACAUUAAUUUGGUUUUGCUACCAGUUUUCAUUAUUGUUAUUAUUUCUAUCGCUAUAAAUAUGCAUGAGUUUACCUGCUAACUUUCAGGAUGCAGAUGGCACAGUGUUCCAGGUAAGGCUGCCUGCACUUCCCACCUCAGAACUCCGGUAUUGCAUUCCCGCUUCAGAGCCUUCCUCAUCCUCAGCAUCAGUGCCAUUUUGUCCUUCCAUCCCUUCUGAAGGACCAGAUACUUAAACUCUCUACCCCAGUUCUGCAGUACUAGUUACCCUUUUCCACUCAGAGCAUAUUUUGCCCCUCCUUACUGUACCACAAAAAAACACCAUCUCUUCAAUACUGCAGUGCUGUGGUCAUUCACAAUUCUUUCUUGGGCUUUACCUGCAGAUUAAUACAGCCAUGUUUUCCAGCAAAUGGUCAAAAAUAUGAACAAAAUGAACAUCAAACAAAUCAGUUUUCUCACAAAACACUGCUAAACAAAUGUGAUCUUUUUGUCCUUUUCGCUCUCUUCACAAGUAGAAAAGAUCUCAAAAAGCUAAAGCAGACACACAAGAAGUUUGCGUCUGUUUAUCCAUCCUGCAGCCUCCCCGACACAGCUCUAAAACUUAACAUUUAAAGGAAAUUGGGAUUACACGAGCCUGUGGGAGAGCAAUAGAAGAACCCUUCAGGAACAACCCAGUUGAAUUCUGCGCAACAUGGUGGCUCCAGAAGAGGCAGAGAGCCAGGUCUCUUCAGAAGAGCAGAUUCCAGCCACUUAAAUAUGAUCCAUAUUGAUUUCUUUAAAUACACAGCACUGUCAGCAUAACGAGUGUGACCACGCUCUGGAUGCUACCAUGCUCCAUCUGCAGGCACCGCGGCAGCAGCAAGCUCAGGCCAAGGACCCCUCCCUUCUCAUGGGCUUGUCAGCCCCAGCUGUGGGACAAGCUCAUACCAUUCCGUGGUUCCUGGGCUUGAACCAAUUUUCAAAUCUCUAGCUCAAGUCCAACAUGGAAAUGCUUGCAUUUCACAUUUCAAAUAUCUCUUUAUAUUCUAUGUCUGUGCAUGAUCGCGUGAAUGUCAGGUAGAAUCAAUUGUGGUCACAUUCUUCUGCUCGAAAGUUUCAAACAAUCUUUGCUGUAUUAGGACUGAACAAAUUCUUUGCAAACUGGUAGCAAAUCUCUCGCAUGAAAACGACUUUCUUCCUUGUCUCACCUUUCAUCUCUUGAAUGUCAGCACAUAUUUUAAAUCACAUAGCAUCAAAGAGGAUAGGGAUAUGUUUCCAUUCAUUCUUUUCCCUUUGAUACCAGAAUAUAGAUGAGCACUUUAGUUUAAAAUCUGGUACCACUUGUGAUACACACACUUAGGACAGCACACCAACUCCUCAUUUUUUGUCCUCCGUGCUUCAAGACAUAUUGCAUUUUUAAACCACACUGUUCCAUUUGGUUCCACCAUAACCACCUCCUGCACCAGAUUUAACAACUACAGUACACAGCCUACCACAUGAAAGUAGGGUACUCGCUUUCUUGGGGUUCAACUAAUUCUGGGCAGACAUACGGUCGUACCCACUUUUAUUACAGUCGCGUAUUUCAACCAAGCUCUUUGUAGUUUCUGCUCAGGCAUCUCAAUUACAUUACAAAUUUGUAAUCACUACCAGUGAUUCAAACAUGAAAGGAACAUUUUAUGAGCAGAAAGACUUAAGAUCUGCAUGAAGAGGAGAGGCAGAAAAUGUCACGGUUUCUUUCAGAUGUCUCUUUAUGGCAAACAGCAAGGAUAAGUGAAGCUGAGUAAACUUAUGUAAAUAGUACAUCUGAAACGAGGUGCGUUUUCUUCCCUCUCACGUGCCCCAGACAGCAGCAGUAUCUGACAAACCUGAGAUGGAAAAUGAAGCAGAGACCUAUGUCAGAACUAGAAACGAACAUGACUCUGUUUGGCAAGAACGCAGUGACUAUUCACAGGCUGACUACACGCCAGAGCAUGAAGAAAGAAGCCCAUUUUCUGAUUUAGGGAUGGACGGGCACAGAAAUCCAACCUGAAAGGAAAAGAAGGAAAAAAAGUCCCCCCUCACAAUGAAGAAAAGAACAGCUAAAAUGAAAUGCAUGGUCUUAACGUUCCUGCCAUCAAGAAAUGCGACUGCCCAGCAAGAUUCAGUAACACAGGCUGACAAGGCGUAGGUAAUGGAUGUGCUCCACACACAUUUCCCGAUAGGAAUCUGUUCACAUAUUACAUAUUCAGCUGAGGCCAUGCCCUGGCAAAAAAAGACCAGCAUGGAUUUGACAGAUGACACAUUAAAGAGAUUUUUCAAUAUUUUGUAGCAGAAAAAUGUGUCUGUUUAGAGGAAAGCUGGAUAUGCCUGCUGCAAAACAGCAAUGGCAUCCAAGUAUUGGACAUUACCAGAUUGUACUGUAUACCAAAGUGCUAACACUCUUCUUCGCAUGCUUCCAUUUGCUGCCAAAACCAAACCAAAAUGGGAACUCAUCUCCAGGUCUGUCAAGUUCACAUAUUCUACAAAGGACAAUUUCACUUUAAAAUACUUGACUAGAAAUUAUUUUUAGCAAUUCCAGCUUUAAGUCAUGAUGUCAUCAAUACACAGGAAUCACGGACAGCUGCUUUGGAGUGCCACUACCCCUUGAGGUCAGCAAUACCUCUGUCUUACGUCCCUGACUUACUCAUUCUCUCCUUUGGUAUGAAAUGUCCCUCAAGAGCUUUAGCCACGUUCAGUUUGUAUCCUGGAGACAAAGUCUAGUGACAAGACAAAGAGAAAUGGUAAUUGUGACACUCAGCUUUCCCAAGGACACCCAGAUUCUUCCAACAAUUUUUCAUGUUGGGAUCUUUAGGAUUUUAUUUAUUAGCAGAUUUUAGAGAUGGAAACAUGAGCGUCCUAUAGCCAUGAACUAGGUCUGUAGAGUUAACGUCCUGCUCUGAACCAGGCCAAGUCUGAGCCAAAGCACUGCCCUCAGGGUGUCCUGCCAAGCAGAGACAAGAGAGCAAGGCAGACCGUUGGGUAUGCCAGAUUCUCUGUGACAUGAAAUAUGUGGCAUACUGUGGGUGUAAGCCUUGGCAGCCAGAGCAGGAAAGCUGCAGUUUGUGAGUGCUGAAGUACUUGUGACAAUGAGAUGAGGUAAAAAAACACUGUCUUUCGGAAGAUGGGUAGGGGGAAAAGGUCUUUCCCUGCCUCUAGACAGGAACUCACAGCAGUGCCCAGCAGCUGAAGACAUGGGAUCAGGCCAAUCCAUCAGCAGCAAGCAAAGGGUUUGAUAACUGGAGAGGGAGAUCUGGUGGAUACAAUGAGGGCACACAGAGAAUUUAUUAAAAAAAUAUAUUAAAAAAUCAAGAGGAUUUUGACAACAGGCGCACAAAAGUCACUCGGCAAAUCUCACACACAUCUUCAGGAUGAUGUGAACUUCUCACUUUUCCCUCCACUAUGCUGAGGAAAUUCUCCCCAAGCCCCUCAAGUGGUGACAAGUGCUCUUAAUCCUGCUCCCUGCCAAAACUCCUUUGUCCCCCCAACCUGCUAUAACGGCAGUGCAGAAAGAAGAUGGAAGAGGAGGAAGUAAAAGAUUCAGUAACAUGGCUUUCCUGUUUCCCAGUCACUGAAAACAAGGUUGAUGGAUCUUUUCCUGAGAGAAAAAAAAAAAAAAGCUUCUGUGUAAUUGAAGUUUUUCUUAUUUGCCAUGUCCUAACUGUGUAUCAUAACCACAGGACUAAAAGCAAUAUUCAGUUCCCUUCAACGCAAGCAGAAAUCAUAGAAUCAUAGAAUUACCCAGGUUGGAAAAGACCUCAAAGACCAUCAAGUUCAACCACAGUCUAACCAUAGUACCCUAUCUCUAACAACCCUCUGCUAAAUCAUAACUCCAACCACCACAUUUAGAGACCUGAGGAUAGGGAUUAAGUGAAUAACAAAGCCUAUCUUCCCCCUUAUUUAAUACUUAAACUUCCUUUAACACCCCCAUAUAAGCUAACCGAAAUUUAAAUAUUUAAAGAACUUCUCAAUUGAACUUUUGACAACUAAUGAAAUUCUCCCCUCAAAUACUUCCAUUACAAAUUAUUUCAGUUUGAUAUAAACUUACGACAAAACUUAUUCAGCACUGAGGUUUGUUUCUCAGCAAGCUUACAUGGCGCCUGCCUUACAAGGAGCAUCUACAUUACGGCCCUAACUCCUGGACAGCACAGCUUCUCGCUCAUCUCUACCAGUAUCUUUGUACCAGCAGCUGCAGGUCAGACAGUCAGGAGAUCCAGCUUGCAUUGAUACCAACCUCUUGCUUUUCAGAGCAAAAAGGCAGCAUUUCUCCCCCAUUUAUGUUAGCACGAACAGUUCAACAUUCAAAUUGCUUCUUAGUCUGUUGGUUGCCUUUGUGGCAAUUUCAAAUACCAGUGACAAGACAUUACCUAAUUUUGUUUAACGGCUGAGGUUUUGUGGAAGCAAGCAAACUAAUUUUCUAACCUUCUUAAUUACCUUUAGUUUCUGAUCUGUAGCCACUUAUCCCUGAUGACAAAAGAGACAGCUGAUUUCUCUGUGACAAUACUAAAUUAGGCAAAAUGCUGAGUUUUAAAAAGCUUAUUUGCAUUGCUCCAUCCUUCAGACUCCUGGACUUCUUAUGGAAAAUGCCUUGAUUGCCACCUCACCACGUGCCGCCAGCUCCUCCUCUCUGUCCUUCUCUUGUACCCUCUGGGUAGCAGAGAAGAAGAAGCAUUGACAACACUUUCACAUAGCUAAUCUUUAUGAACCAACAGCAUUUCUGACAACCCAUUACCUAGAAACUAUGGCUAUUACUGGAGGAAAGACAUUUUUCAACUACUUAGAAGGAUACAGCAACAGCUUCAUAAAAGCUUGACAAGUACAUCGCAUGUAUCGCUUCAAAACUUUACGCUACUCUACAUCAUCGCUCAGCAAUCUCAGUUCUCCAGGAAAUAGUUUUUCUUCUUUUUUUCUCCUAAAAGUCGUGCAGUUUGCACACAUAGGCUGCAAAAACCAAGCUCUCUCCAGGCGAUAAACAAGUUAACUCACCGUAAGUAGCAACCCUAAAGUCAUUUCUUAAGCUGAUGAAUACAAGGCAUUUGUUUACUGAAGCCAAUAAAAAAAAUAACAACAACGUAAUGUUCCCUUUUUCAGCAGGAAGCUCUGGUUUGCAAAGAACUUUUGGCAGUAAUGUCCUGAAUUCCUUUUCCUUGUGCAGAUCAACUAAUCUAAGGCUAACCAAUUAAUUAAAAAGAUGUUAUAGAGAACAAUACUGGAUCGUUUUAGCCCUUUCUCCGAUUCUACUGUUCCUUUCAUAGAACGGUGCCUUCACCUUCACUUACGAGUGCAAUGGGCAAGCAGUGUAGGCAGCAAGAGACGGCUGCCGUGAAGAGCCACCACCAGGAAAACAGCUUCAGCACAACAGGAUGGACCUACUUGGCAUCACUUCAGCUGAAAGAACAUCAUAUGAAGGAAAAACAAGUCGGGAUUUCAACCACCCACCUAUGCCCGUUCAUGACUUUGCUUCCUCACACUACCCACUCCACGGCACAAAGUUGGGCCCUAGGUUCUCACUUCCACAUUGAGGAGCAGAGUGGAAAGUUCAAUAACCUUUCCAGCACUGUGUAUUUUAACAUUAAAACGCCUGUGCAAGCAACAGUUCCUUCCUCAUUUGUGACCACACUUCUUCCCUGCAUAGUUACAGACUAUUUAUCUUUUUCAGUAACUACGAUACUUAUCCUUUCCUUAUAACCUGCAACUCAGCUUAUGACACCGAGACCAUUAAUAUCUGCUAUAUUCUGGUUAAAGUUAGCCUCGUGAAGCUAUAGCCAUUGAGCAGAGAUGGCUAAAAGUAAUUCAUAAUGCUUCUAAGCUUUCACCUGCUGGAAAUGCACCAAAAUUUGCUUUUUAAAUAUAGAUCACUGCAGGCUGCUGUUGAGUCUCAGGUCCUUCUCUACAGUGAUAUCUGUUUAUUAAACCCUUUUUUUUCUUUGUAAACACAGCAAGUUCAUUAAAG
This is a non-coding RNA of Coturnix japonica (Japanese quail), 7683 nucleotides long. The record is from RefSeq and is a predicted model, not a curated record. NCBI's taxonomy places the organism in Eukaryota, Metazoa, Chordata, Aves, Galliformes, Phasianidae.